This 454-nucleotide ribosomal RNA is filed under the name uncultured bacterium. RNAcentral describes it as "bacterial SSU rRNA". It matches the Rfam family "Bacterial small subunit ribosomal RNA", at positions 340 to 786 of the family's 1533-position model. The record is from RNAcentral.
UACGGAAGGCAGCAGUGGGGAAUAUUGCACAAUGGGCGCAAGCCUGAUGCAGCCAUGCCGCGUGUAUGAAGAAGGCCUUCGGGUUGUAAAGUACUUUCAGUCGUGAGGAAGGUGUUAAGGUUAAUAACCUUAGCAAUUGACGUUAGCGACAGAAGAAGCACCGGCUAACUCCGUGCCAGCAGCCGCGGUAAUACGGAGGGUGCGAGCGUUAAUCGGAAUUACUGGGCGUAAAGGGCACGCAGGCGGUUAAUUAAGUUGGAUGUGAAAUCCCCGGGCUUAACCUGGGAAUGGCAUUCAAGACUGGUUAGCUAGAGUCUUGUAGAGGGGGUAGAAUUCCAUGUGUAGCGGUGAAAUGCGUAGAGAUGUGGAGGAAUACCGGUGGCGAAGGCGGCCCCUGGGACAAAGGACUGACGCUCAUGUGCGAAAGCGUGGGGAGCAACAGGGAUUAGAUACC